Molecule: unclassified non-coding RNA, 395 nt
Filed under: soil metagenome
Description: partial contains 5.8S ribosomal RNA, internal transcribed spacer 2, and large subunit ribosomal RNA
Rfam family: 5.8S ribosomal RNA (bases 1-121)
Source: RNAcentral
GAUGAAGAACGUAGCGAACGUGCGAAACGUAAUGUGAAUUGCAGAAUUCAGUGAAUCAUCGAAUCUUUGAACGCAUCUUGCGCUCCUUGGUAUUCCGAGGAGCAUGCCUGUUUGAGUGUCGUGAAUACUCUCAACUUCAACACUUUUUUCGGAAAGGGAGGAAGGUUGGACUUGGGUGUUUGUUGAAGUGCGAGCUUCGACUCAUCCUAAAUGCAUUAGCGAUCUGCCUCGAUCACACACAAUGUGAUAAUUAAAACUAAAGCAUUGUUUAAUGAUCAAGUCGAGACUGCUUCUAACUGUCGCAAGACAAUAACGUGCAUACAUUUGUGCAUGUCAUUUGACCUCAAAUCAGGUAGGACUACCCGCUGAACUUAAGCAUAUCAAUAAGCGGAGGA